Non-coding RNA from Egretta garzetta (little egret), 62 nucleotides. Lineage: Eukaryota; Metazoa; Chordata; Aves; Pelecaniformes; Ardeidae. The record is from Rfam.
UGUAAACAUCCUUGACUGGAAGCUGUAAGGUGUCAGAAGGAGCUUUCAGUCGGAUGUUUACA